GCGGAGAAUCUUUCGUAGGAGACUUUUAACGUUUUAAAAGUGGCCUACAGGCUAGUAUAUAAAGAGUCAAGAAAGCAUUGACAUUACAGGUUCGAAGAUGCAUACCAUUGGGGAAUCUGGAAUGGAGAGGCUUUUGUGAUAGUAGUAUUUAAGUUGUUUCUAGGAGUUUAUAUUUUCAGACUUUAGCUUUGAGUUGGUGUGUUUCAGUUCAAACAUUGUUUGACUCUUAUUUCAUAAGUUUAAUAAAGUUGGUUUUGUUUUAGUAA
Molecule: long non-coding RNA, 266 nt
Organism: Beta vulgaris subsp. vulgaris (sugar beet)
Lineage: Eukaryota; Viridiplantae; Streptophyta; Magnoliopsida; Caryophyllales; Amaranthaceae
Exons: 2
Source: RefSeq, a predicted model, not a curated record